Small nuclear RNA from Ochotona princeps (American pika), 135 nucleotides. Its record names the gene U4. It matches the Rfam family "U4 spliceosomal RNA". From Rfam's summary of the family: U4 small nuclear RNA (U4 snRNA) is a component of the major U2-dependent spliceosome. The structure of U4 snRNA from yeast and human has been reported. NCBI's taxonomy places the organism in Eukaryota, Metazoa, Chordata, Mammalia, Lagomorpha, Ochotonidae. The record is from Ensembl.
AGCUUUGCACAGUGACAGUAUGGUAACCAAUGAGGUUUAUCUGAGGCAAGAUUAUUGCUAAUUGAAAAAAGUAUUGAUGAAUUUCUAAAGUUUUUUUCAACAAAACAAACUAAUUAUUUAAUACCAUUUAAAUGA